AGAGCGAACGCUGGCGGCAGGCCUAACACAUGCAAGUCGAGCGCGUGUAGCAAUACACGAGCGGCAGACGGGAGAGUAACACGUGGGAACGCGCCCUUCGGUUCGGAAUAACUCAGGGAAACUUGAGCUAAUACCGGAUACGCCCUUACGGGGGAAAGAUUUAUUGCCGAAGGAACGGCCCGCGUCCGAUUAGCUAGUUGGUGAGGUAACGGCUCACCAAGGCGACGAUCGGUAGCUGGUCUGAGAGGAUGACCAGCCUCACUGGGACUGAGACACGGCCCAGACUCCUACGGGAGGCAGCAGUGGGGAAUAUGGACAAUGGGCGCAAGCCUGAUCCAGCCAUGCCGCGUGGAUGAUGAAGGCCUUAGGGUUGUAAAGUCCUUUUAACGGGGAAGAUAAUGACGGUACCGUAGAAUAAGCCCCGGCUAACUUCGCGCCAGCAGCCGC
Molecule: ribosomal RNA, 447 nt
Filed under: uncultured bacterium
Lineage: Bacteria
Description: SSU rRNA
Rfam family: Bacterial small subunit ribosomal RNA
Source: RNAcentral